GAUGAACGCUGGCGGCGUGCUUAACACAUGCAAGUCGAACGGAAAGGCCGAAGCUUGCUUCGGUACUCGAGUGGCGAACGGGUGAGUAACACGUGGGUGAUCUGCCCUGUACUUCGGGAUAAGCUUGGGAAACUGGGUCUAAUACCGGAUAUGACGAUCUCUUGGAUGGGGUUGUGGAAAGCUUUUGCGGUAUGGGAUGAGCUCGCGGCCUAUCAGCUUGUUGGUGGGGUAAUGGCCUACCAAGGCGUCGACGGGUAGCCGGCCUGAGAGGGUGUACGGCCACAUUGGGACUGAGAUACGGCCCAGACUCCUACGGGAGGCAGCAGUGGGGAAUAUUGCACAAUGGGCGCAAGCCUGAUGCAGCGACGCCGCGUGGGGGAUGACGGCCCUCGGGUUGUAAACUCCUUUCGCAAUCGACGAAGCCUUUUGGUGACGGUAGGUUGAGAAGAAGCACCGGCUAACUACGUG
Molecule: ribosomal RNA, 468 nt
Filed under: uncultured bacterium
Lineage: Bacteria
Description: partial 16S ribosomal RNA
Rfam family: Bacterial small subunit ribosomal RNA
Source: RNAcentral